GAUGAACGCUGGCGGCGUGCCUAAUACAUGCAAGUCGAGCGAACAGAUAAGGAGCUUGCUCCUUUGACGUUAGCGGCGGACGGGUGAGUAACACGUGGAUAACCUACCUAUAAGACUGGGAUAACUUCGGGAAACCGGAGCUAAUACCGGAUAAGAUUUUGAACCGCAUGGUUCAAUAGUGAAAGACGGCCUUGCUGUCACUUAUAGAUGGAUCCGCGCCGUAUUAGCUAGUUGGUAAGGUAACGGCUUACCAAGGCAACGAUACGUAGCCAACCUGAGAGGGUGAUCGGCCACACUGGAACUGAGACACGGUCCAGACUCCUACGGGAGGCAGCAGUAGGGAAUCUUCCGCAAUGGGCGAAAGCCUGACGGAGCAACGCCGCGUGAGUGAUGAAGGUCUUCGGAUCGUAAAACUCUGUUAUCAGGGAAGAACAAACGUGUAAGUAACUGUGCACGUCUUGACGGUACCUGAUCAGAAAGCCACGGCUAACUACGUG
This 497-nucleotide ribosomal RNA is filed under the name uncultured bacterium. RNAcentral describes it as "partial 16S ribosomal RNA". It matches the Rfam family "Bacterial small subunit ribosomal RNA", at positions 28 to 507 of the family's 1533-position model. The record is from RNAcentral.